This 229-nucleotide ribosomal RNA is filed under the name uncultured bacterium. RNAcentral's name for it is "partial 16S ribosomal RNA". It matches the Rfam family "Bacterial small subunit ribosomal RNA", at positions 568 to 796 of the family's 1533-position model. The record is from RNAcentral.
UACGUAGGCGGGAAAUUAAGUCAGUAGUGAAAUCCCACAGCUUAACUGUGGAGCUGUUAUUGAUACUGGUUUUCUUGAAUAUAGUUGAGGUAGGCGGAAUGUGUAAUGUAGCGGUGAAAUGCUUAGAUAUUACACAGAACACCGAUUGCGAAGGCAGCUUACUAAGCUAUGAUUGACGCUGAGGUACGAAAGCGUGGGGAGCGAACAGGAUUAGAUACCCUGGUAGUCC